Molecule: ribosomal RNA, 440 nt
Filed under: uncultured bacterium
Lineage: Bacteria
Description: partial 16S ribosomal RNA
Rfam family: Bacterial small subunit ribosomal RNA
Source: RNAcentral
CCUACGGGAGGCUGCAGUGGGGAAUAUUGCACAAUGGGGGCAACCCUGAUGCAGCGACGCCGCGUGAGUGAAGAAGUAAUUCGUUAUUUAAAGCUCUAUCAGCCGGGAAGAAAAUGACGGUACCUGAGUAAGAAGCCCCGGCUAACUACGUGCCAGCAGCCGCGGUAAUACGUAGGGGGCAAGCGUUAUCCGGAUUUACUGGGGGUAAAGGGGGCGUAGACGGCAGUGCAAGUCUGGAGUGAAAGGCGGGGGCUCAACCCCCGGACUGCUCUUGAAACUGUACGGCUGGAGUGCAGGAGAGGUAAGUGGAAUUCCUGGUGUAGCGGUGAAAUGCGUAGAUAUUAGGAGGAACACCAGUGGCGAAGGCGGCUUACUGGACUGUAACUGACGUUGAGGCUCGAAAGCGUGGGGAGCAAACAGGAUUAGAUACCCUAGUAGUC